UCAACCAUGAGAGACCAUAACAUCACAGUCCAAACAGAGUACAUACCAUCAUGAUUUGUUGAGCCACACCCAUCAUCCUCAGGCUGCCGUUUCAGCUCCAUCUCUGUCAGUGGUGUAGCUGUUAGGAUAACAGAACAAGUAUAUUUCAGUGUAAAACAGUCUUGUAUUAGCUGAAGUACAGAAUCAUUGUGAUAGCUACGAGUGUUCCAGGUUGAAUGAACAGUUCAGUGUAAAACUGUCUUGUAUUAGCUGAAGUACAGAAUCAUUGUGAUAGCUACGAGUGUUCCAGGUUGACUGAACAGUUCAGUCUGCUACAUCCUUCUCAAACAGUUCAUGGUUAUGAUAUUUCAGUUCAGUGUGGAACAGUCUUGUAUUAGCUGAAGUACAGAAUCAUUGUGAUAGCUACGAGUGUUCCAGGUUGACUGAGCAGUUCAGUCUGCUACAUCCUUCUCAAACAGUUCAUGUAUAUGAGGUUUCAUUAUAUAAUAUAAGAUAUUAAAACCAAAUAUUGAGUUUUACCUUCAGUCAUGGUUCUGUCCCUCUUUGCCAAUUUUUUGUCAAAUGUCACCAGCUCUUUCAGGUCCUCUGCCUGCGUUGAACCAGCUCUUUCAGCUCCUCUGCCUGCGUUGAACCAGCUCUUUCAGGUCCCCUGCCUGCGUUGAACCAGCUCUUUCAGCUCCUCUGCCUGCGUUGAACCAGCUCUUUCAGCUCCUCUGCCUGCAUUGAACCAGCUCUUUCAGGUCCUCUGCCUGCGUUGAACCAGCUCUUUCAGGUCCCCUGCCUGCGUUGAACCAGCUCUUUCAGCUCCUCUGCCUGCGUUGAACCAGCUCUUUCAGCUCCUCUGCCUGCAUUGAACCAGCUCUUUCAGCUCCCUCUGCCUGCCUUGAACCAGCUCUUUCAGGUCCCCUGCCUGCGUUGAACCAGCUCUUUCAGGUCCCCUGCCUGCGUUGAACCAGCUCUUUCAGGUCCUCUGCCUGUGUUGAACCAGCUCUUUCAGGUCCUCUGCCUGCGUUGAACCAGCUCUUUCAGCUCCUCUGCCUGCGUUGAACCAGCAGUCUGAGUACUGAAGUUUUCUCACAAACAAAGAAAGGAAUAUCCUGUGCAUCUGGCAGAAUGGAGGGGAGGUUCCUGCUUCCCUGGAUUGUCUACAGUUCUGACAAACAUGGCCUGUGUCCCAAACGGUACCUUAUUCCCUUUAUAGUCUGCUACUGUAGAGCAGGGCCCUAGUGCACUAUAUAGGAAACAGAGUGCCAUUUGGGAUGAACACGUGGACUGUUUCUCGAAACUUCCCCUACCCUCUGCAUCCCCUAGCUCCAAUCCCCCAGGGACUGGAGUAGAUCUGAAAGGCUUGGGUAGGUAUCAGCAGUAUGGUGGAUGUUCCACCUAACCUAUCAGAAGGCAAGGUAGAGUCACUACCAUGUUGCUUAUACCUGUCCAACUCCUCCAGAUCUACAGGAAGUAUGUAGGCUGAAGUAAUGAGGCUAGGGGUUGGUUGUAAGGACCAGGCUAGAGAUCAGGCUAGGGGUUGGUUGUAAGGGGCCAGGCUCUAGGGACCAGGCUAAGGGGCCAUGCCAAGGCAAGGCUAAGGGAGUGGAGACCCAAGAGGGUGGGUAGUGAUAAUGUAGGCCAAGUUCUGAAGAAUGAAUGACAGAUUUUAAUACAUAUAGAGUUGAUUCAACCACGUACAACAAUGCAUAUAGCUGUAGGAUCUUAAUUUAAUCACUGUUUUGUUGCUGAGAAUUUUCCUGCUUUGUGAUUAACAUAAAUGAACUGAAAACCCACACUAACAUGUGAUCAUAUUAACACUAUUUUACAGUACUGCAGUACUUUAGUCCAGCUAAUAGCCUAACCACCGAUCAAGCAACAUUAUCGACAAGGGGAUGGUCAUCUGAAUGUGGUUAGGAGACUCAACAUUGAUGAGAAGAGGUCAUCUGAAUGUGGUUAGGAGACUCAACAUUGAUGAGAAGAGGUCAUCUGAAUGUGGUUAGGAGACUCAACAUUGAUGAGAAGAGGUCAUCUGAAUGUGGUUAGGAGACUCAACAUUGAUGAGAAGAGGUCAUCUGAAUGUGGUUAGGAGACUCAACAUUGAUGAGAAGAGGUCAUCUGAAUGUGGUUAGGAGACUCAACAUUGAUGAGAAGAGGUGAACUGAACAUGGUUAGGAGACUCAACAUUGAUGAGAAGAGGUGAACUGAACAUGGUUAGGAGACUCAACAUUGAUGAGAAGAGGUGAACUGAACAUGGUUAGGAGACUCAACAUUGAUGAGAAGAGGUGAACUGAACAUGGUUAGGAGACUCAACAUUGAUGAGAAGAGGUGAACUGAACAUGGUUAGGAGACUCAACAUUGAUGAGAAGAGGUCAUCUGAACAUGGUUAGGAGACUCAACAUUAAUGCCAUAGUCACUGAGGAUAAUAAAUCAAUAUUAGACUUCACUGCAAACGUUUAGAAGAAUUGAUACUAAUAUGACUCUUGCCUGAUUUAAUUCAAAUCAAUUAUUCAGCUCCAUUCCUGAUGGCAAUUCUGUUGAUGAGGAAUUCAAUAAUGUUUGCUGCGAAGAUUUGACCACAAAGGAGAUCAGAUUUGAUAUCAUACAGUUAAAAAAUACCACAUCCCCUGGUACUGAUGGGCAAACCUCUAAUUCUUACUUGCCACAUUUAAGAAAGCCAUCGAAAAACGAGAGCUUCCAGCGUCAUUAAAAUAAGGUGUUAUAACUCUUAUCCCUAAAACACAUGAGGAUACAUUCUUUCUUGAUACUUGAAGCCCAAUUACACUCAAAAACAAAGAUAAUAUACUAGCUUCCAUUCUAGCAAAAUGCAAGAUAUCUGGAUUUUUGAAAGAGCGUCAAACUUGAUGGAAUAUAACGAUUAAUUAGAUGACAACCCUGUAAUUCUAUUAUUGGAUUUCAAAAAUGCAUUUGAUACUGUUAGUCAUCAUGAGUACAUUUUUUAAACAUUGGGACGCAGGCCAUUUUUUAAACAAAGACCAGACAUACGCUCUACAGUGAAUUUUAAGACCACACAUACGCUCUACAGUGAACUCUAAAAGACCACACAUACGCUCUACAGUGAACUCUAAAAGACCACACAUACGCUCUA
Oncorhynchus tshawytscha (Chinook salmon) is the source of this 3094-nucleotide long non-coding RNA. NCBI's taxonomy places the organism in Eukaryota, Metazoa, Chordata, Actinopteri, Salmoniformes, Salmonidae. The record is from Ensembl.